GCGGGGCGCGCGCUCCCCCCCCCACCAAAGAAGCAACUUGCUUCAAAAAAAUAGAUAAUUCGCGGGAUUCUGCAAUUCAUUCCAAGUAUCGCAUUAUGCUACGUUGUUCAGGGAUGCGAGAGCUGGGAUUCACGCCAAAAGACACUCCCAACCCACCCGAGGGGGAGGGACGUGGUGUUUGGUCCCCCGUGCCGCAGGGCGCGGUGGCAAGAAAAUGGGGCUGCCGGCGAAUCGUGUCGGGCACAGCACGUGGUGGGCGACACUCAGUUGUUCUCGGGGCAGCGCCCCGGCACGCGGCCGGCGCAUCGGCCCUAAGGACCCAAGGAGCACCGCAGCGCGUAGCCGCUCGGACCGCGAGCCCCAGGUCAGUCUGGCGACUACCCGUGAGUAUGCGGUUUUUUU
RNAcentral lists this unclassified non-coding RNA (402 nucleotides) under Saccharum hybrid cultivar. RNAcentral describes it as "partial contains 5.8S rRNA, ITS2 and 28S rRNA". The record is from RNAcentral. Lineage: Eukaryota; Viridiplantae; Streptophyta; Magnoliopsida; Poales; Poaceae.